ACUAGCCGUUGGGGUCCUUGAAACCUUUGUGGCGCAUUUAACGCGAUAAGUCGACCGCCUGGGGAGUACGGCCGCAAGGUUAAAACUCAAAUGAAUUGACGGGGGCCCGCACAAGCGGUGGAGCAUGUGGUUUAAUUCGAUGCAACGCGAAGAACCUUACCUACCCUUGACAUCGUGCGAACUUUCCAGAGAUGGAUUGGUGCCUUCGGGAGCGCACAGACAGGUGCUGCAUGGCUGUCGUCAGCUCGUGUUGUGAAAUGUUGGGUUAAGUCCCGUAACGAGCGCAACCCUUGUCCCUAUUUGCCAGCGAUUCGGUCGGGAACUCUAGGGAGACUGCCGGUGACAAACCGGAGGAAGGUGGGGACGACGUCAAGUCAUCAUGGCCCUUACGGGUAGGGCUACACACGUGCUACAAUGGUCGGUACAAAGGGUUGCAAUACCGCGAGGUGGAGCUAAUCCCAUAAAGCCGGUCUCAGUCCGGAUCGGAGUCUGCAACUCGACUCCGUGAAGUCGGAAUCGCUAGUAAUCGUGAAUCAUAAUGUCACGGUGAAUACGUUCCCGGGCCUUGUACACACCGCCCGUCACACCAUGGGAGUGGACUGCACCAGAAGUGGUUAGCCUAACUUCGGAGGGCGAUCACCACGGUGUG
This 649-nucleotide ribosomal RNA is filed under the name Halomonas sp. BAB-5577. Its description in RNAcentral is "bacterial SSU rRNA". It matches the Rfam family "Bacterial small subunit ribosomal RNA", at positions 815 to 1466 of the family's 1533-position model. The record is from RNAcentral. Lineage: Bacteria; Pseudomonadati; Pseudomonadota; Gammaproteobacteria; Oceanospirillales; Halomonadaceae.